Molecule: non-coding RNA, 2794 nt
Organism: Vigna umbellata (rice bean)
Lineage: Eukaryota; Viridiplantae; Streptophyta; Magnoliopsida; Fabales; Fabaceae
Source: RefSeq, a predicted model, not a curated record
ACAGACUAUACACGUGUAGGGUGGAUAUAACAUGACAAAUUCGGCAACCCUACAUAUUCCCGUAUUAUAUCUCUGUUCCACCAUCUCUCUCACACACUCUAAACCUCAUUAUUCGUAAAUCCCACACACUUUGUUUUGAAGUGAAACGAAGAGUAGCUAUCAAAGGAGGAACGUCUCUGCCACCGGAAAAUAAGUCUAAGGAGAUAGUCAUGUUUCCAUUUUCCAAACCUUUUAUCUUCUUUGAUCGAGUUUACCGGGUUUGAUGGUGCGGUGUAUUGGACGUGGUGAUUUGCAUUACUCACUGUGUGGUGACACCGUCUAUUGCUGAGUCAGAUUAUACUUGUCUUGAAACAUCAAGGAGAGAAAUGUGACUCAUACAAUUGUUGACACCGAGUGCUAAUCAGAAUAAAGAACUUGAGCCUCAUAUUGUAGUUUAUUUGGUGGUGAGGCGAGAGAAGUCAAUUUCAAUUUCAUGGGGAAAGCAAUACAAAACUUAGUUGCUGCGGAAAAAUCGUGCUUUUUACCCAUUUCCAGAGGAGCCACCAGAAUUUUGAAUGUAUCCAUACACUCUAAUAGUCUGAUACUGUAUUAACUCGGGAUCUAAGUUUUCUAUUGCAGUAUAAAUGUUAAAUGUCAACAUUUUGUGCAAUCUGUUAAAUGAAUUAGGAAUUGCAUUUUGAUAAUUUGUCUGUCUAUUGUUUUAUAAUGCUUGGUGUCAUUGUAAGGGGUGACCACGGGUCUGAAUCAACCCAUGAACCCAAUCAACCCAAACCAAACUAAUAGCAAGAAAGUGGUUUGGUUUGCUUCUUGGGUUGAUGAAUUUAAAUUCUGAAAUAACUGAUCGAACAUGAUAUACUAUUAUAAAUCUGUUGUUAAUUCCCUUCUCUACUGUCGGAACAUCUGCUGACCACCAACUUAAAGUCGCUAUCCAAUUCCUGCUUUUUUUAACUCAAAGUCCUAAACAAUUAAAAGGGUAAAACCAAAUCUAACCUCUCUCUGUUGAAUGCCAUGGAUACCAACUCCAGAAUCCUUUUGCUCCUCUCUUAUGUCACAUCCUGCCCUCCUUCCAUGAGGAUUCUUAUUUUUUAUUAUUUGACCUGGGUACUUGAUUUCAACAAAUGCAAACGUCAGGUUGUUUUGGUAUGGGUUCUUAACAAAUUUGGUAGGAACCUAACCAAUCCAAACGAUAUGAAUUACUUUUCUCUAAUAUUUAUUAACAUUGAUAACACUGAAAAGUUUGCAGUUAACCUUAAGAGGUCAUAGCUUUUAUGGCGAACAUCCAAGUAAAUAACAAUAAAUGCAAAGGAAACAAACAAUUCAACAGGUUUAGGGUUUGAAGAAAAAGAUAUAGAAAACUACAUCCAAUUAGGGACUUUUUAAAUUCUAGAAAGGGUAAGAAAUUUCAGCUUUGCCUAUAAAAACGACAUCGUUUUUAAGGCAAAAGUGGAUUUUUGCAGAGUCUCACUAUAGCACUGGUACAACCACUAUUUUGUAAUCGUGGGCCCUUUCGGCGGCUAUACGAAAAUGCACCACACCACUUUUCAACAUGUGCCAAAAGUUAAUGAUCAGAGCAAUGAGAUAUAUAAGUAAACAUACCAUAAAAUGUAAGAUUAGGAAUACGCGUUUUCAGGCUAUAGCUGUAAUAGUACCUAUUGAAAUGAUGAACGAAAUUUGUUUGUGGUGAUUUGUUCAUUAGAGAACAUAUAUAGAGGCUCUAAGUAGAAAGUGAAUAUGUUGGUGCAUAGGGGUUAUUUAUUGUUCUUGUUGUUGGCAGCUUUGCUGCAUGUCUUAGCCACUUGGUGCUUUUGACUUUUAUUUUUCAGUUUAGAGGGAGACCUUAUCUCACCUGGUGGUUGUUUCACUGUUUUCUCUCAAUAUUUUUUUUUUCGGAAAGAAAAAUUGCUUGUUACCAGCAAGCAAUUAAUAUUUUUGGCUUAAUUUUGUGACAAUGAAUUAAAGGGAAAGAUUGUAACUUGGGCAUUUCAACUAUUAAAUGGAAAAAUAUUUUGUGGAUGCCUAUUCAGUUUAUAGAUAAGAAACUAUGGGAAAUAUUGAUCAAUUGAAGCAUGUUUGGGAUAAUUGACAUAGUAAUUUACAUGACAUGGAAAUUUCGUUUGAUUUGUAUGAUUAGAUCUCUUGGUUAAUAAAUUGCUGACCACUCUUUUGAUGUUUGUGGUUAUAUAUGGAAUGAAGUUUAUUGUAUCAGUAAAAUUGUCUGUUUAUGAGUUUUGAUUUCUGGCUUCUCUGGUUUAUAUCAAUCAGUUUACUUGUUAGAUGCGUUUCAUACCAAUAUUCUCUAUAUCUUCAUUGGUAUAUUUUCAGGUUCUUGUCAUUUGAAUAUGCUUAUAACAUAGGAGCAUAUUCAGUCAAAAAUGGUGGCUAUAUUAAACUUUUAUUCUUUUGUCUUCAAAUAGGAUGCAUCCAUUGGAUUCACUUAGAGAUAUUCCCUGGCAAGUAUUCUGUAUGGAUUAUAUUUUUCAUGUUGUGGAGUGAACCUGUCCCUGCUUGCUGCAUAUCUCACCCAUCCUUUUUUCCAGUGCUUCUACAUGAGACUCCUUAGGGCAUCUUGGUGGUCAGACAACCAGAUGAUAAAAAUUAAAUUGAAGAAAAACUCAGGGAUUGCAAUAUCAUCACAGAAAAAUGAAUAUAUGCAAUCACAUAGGGACUGAGAACCACAGGGUCUGUCCUCUCGAGGACUGUUGCUUCUUGCUGAGAGACCCCAAGCCUCAUCUGUAAUCCUCAGCUAUACAAAACCAAAUGCCUUCAUUACCCACUCUCUCCACUAAAUAGUAUA